RNAcentral lists this ribosomal RNA (253 nucleotides) under uncultured bacterium. Its description in RNAcentral is "partial 16S ribosomal RNA". It matches the Rfam family "Bacterial small subunit ribosomal RNA", at positions 524 to 776 of the family's 1533-position model. The record is from RNAcentral.
UACAGGGGGGGCAAGCGUUGUUCGGAAUUACUGGGCGUAAAGGGCUUGUAGGCGGCCAACUAAGUCCGACGUGAAAUCCCUAGGCUUAACCUAGGAACUGCGUCGGAUACUGGAUGGCUUGAAUCCGGGAGAGGGAUGCGGAAUUCCAGGUGUAGCGGUGAAAUGCGUAGAUAUCUGGAGGAACACCGGUGGCGAAGGCGGCAUCCUGGACCGGUAUUGACGCUGAGGAGCGAAAGCCAGGGGAGCAAACGGG